CAAGGGCUAGAAAGAUAGAUAGAAUUGCAACUUACAAUCAAUCAAUACCGCAUAAUCAAUCAAUCUAGGGUAUAAUCCAGAGAAGCAUGAGCACGGGCAUAGAUAGAUCGACAGAAUUGAACCUCAUAAUCAAUCAAUCAAUCUUACACCGCAUAAUCAACCAAUAUAGGGUAUAAUCCAGAAAAGCAUGGGGGCAUACUUAUCAAUCAAUCUAGGGUAUAAUCUAGGGCAUAAUCAAUCAAUUAAUCUGAGCGCAACCUAUGACAGAUAGAUCUAAUUAGUAGGCAAGGGUACAUGAUUCGUAGAGGGGACUUAAGUUGGGGGAUGAGGACGGGGUAGGAGUACCAGGAUGAGGUCGAAGAGCGUGGCCUGGUCGACCUUGACGAACUCGGCGUCCCAGUUCUUGAGGUCCUCUGCGCCGGCGGAGGCGUCGGCGGCAGCGGGUGCGGCGUCAUCUGCGGGCUUGGCGGCGUGGACGUGCUUGUUGCAGUACUCGAUGACCUUGGAGAGGAUCUUGGCGUUGACGUUGGGGAGAGG
This 537-nucleotide long non-coding RNA is filed under the name Setaria italica (foxtail millet). Its description in RNAcentral is "long non-coding RNA (SITA_LNC000006)". Lineage: Eukaryota; Viridiplantae; Streptophyta; Magnoliopsida; Poales; Poaceae. The record is from RNAcentral.